This 495-nucleotide ribosomal RNA is filed under the name uncultured bacterium. RNAcentral's name for it is "partial 16S ribosomal RNA". It matches the Rfam family "Bacterial small subunit ribosomal RNA", at positions 29 to 506 of the family's 1533-position model. The record is from RNAcentral.
AUGAACGCUGGCGGCGUGCCUAAUCCCUGCAAGUCGCGCGAACGGACGAGAAGCUUGCUUCUCUGAUGUUAGCGGCGGACGGGUGAGUAACACGUGGAUAACCUACCUAUAAGACUGGGAUAACUUCGGGAAACCGGAGCUAAUACCGGAUAAUAUUUUGAACCGCAUGGUUCAAAAGUGAAAGACGGUCUUGCUGUCACUUAUAGAUGGAUCCGCGCUGCAUUAGCUAGUUGGUAAGGUAACGGCUUACCAAGGCAACGAUGCAUAGCCGACCUGAGAGGGUGAUCGGCCACACUGGAACUGAGACACGGUCCAGACUCCUACGGGAGGCAGCAGUAGGGAAUCUUCCGCAAUGGGCGAAAGCCUGACGGAGCAACGCCGCGUGAGUGAUGAAGGUCUUCGGAUCGUAAAACUCUGUUAUUAGGGAAGAACAUAUGUGUAAGUAACUGUGCACAUCUUGACGGUACCUAAUCAGAAAACCACGGCUAACUACGU